RNAcentral lists this ribosomal RNA (463 nucleotides) under uncultured bacterium. Its description in RNAcentral is "bacterial SSU rRNA". It matches the Rfam family "Bacterial small subunit ribosomal RNA", at positions 791 to 1254 of the family's 1533-position model. The record is from RNAcentral.
UAGUCCACGCCGUAAACGAUGUCUACUAGCAGCUCGCCUCGUUUAGAGGGUUUUGCGCAGCUAACGCGUUAAGUAGACCGCCUGGGGAGUACGGCCGCAAGGUUAAAACUCAAAUGAAUUGACGGGGCCCGCACAAGCGGUGGAGCAUGUGGUUUAAUUCGAUGCAACGCGAAGAACCUUACCAUCCCUUGACAUCCAGAGAAUUUUCUAGAGAUAGAUUAGUGCCUUUCGGGAACUCUGAGACAGGUGCUGCAUGGCUGUCGUCAGCUCGUGUUGUGAAAUGUUGGGUUAAGUCCCGCAACGAGCGCAACCCUUAUCCUUAGUUGCUAACNGUUAGGCUGAGAACUCCAAGGAGACUGCCGGUGACAAACCGGAGGAAGGUGGGGACGACGUCAAGUCAUCAUGGCCUUACGGGGAUGGGGCUACACACGUGCUACAAUGGCAAGUACAAAGGGUUGCAAAC